GACGAACGCUGGCGGCGUGCUUAACACAUGCAAGUCGAGCGGUAAGGCCCUUUCGGGGGUACGACGAGCGGCGAACGGGUGAGUAACACGUGGGUGACCUGCCCUCAGCUCUGGGAGUAAGCCCGGGAAACUGGGUCUAAUACCGGAUAUGACUCCAUGACGCAUGUUGUGGGGUGGAAAGCCUUGUGCGGCUGAGGAUGGGCCCGCGGCCUAUCAGCUUGUUGGUGGGGUGAUGGCCACCAAGGCGACGACGGGUAGCCGGCCUGAGAGGGCGACCGGCCACACUGGGACUGAGAUACGGCCCAGACUCCUACGGGAGGCAGCAGUGGGGAAUCUUGCGCAAUGGGCGCAAGCCUGAUCCAGCCAUGCCGCGUGCGGGAAGAAGGCCUGGUGUAACG
RNAcentral lists this ribosomal RNA (398 nucleotides) under uncultured bacterium. Its description in RNAcentral is "bacterial SSU rRNA". It matches the Rfam family "Bacterial small subunit ribosomal RNA", at positions 28 to 430 of the family's 1533-position model. The record is from RNAcentral.